Molecule: ribosomal RNA, 497 nt
Filed under: uncultured bacterium
Lineage: Bacteria
Description: partial 16S ribosomal RNA
Rfam family: Bacterial small subunit ribosomal RNA
Source: RNAcentral
GAUGAACGCUGGCGGCGUGCCUAAUACAUGCAAGUCGAGCGAACAGACGAGGUGCUUGCUCCUCUGACGUUAGCGGCGGACGGGUGAGUAACACGUGGAUAACCUACCUAUAAGACUGGGAUAACUUCGGGAAACCGGAGCUAAUACCGGAUAAUAUCUUGAACCGCAUGGUUCAAUAGUGAAAGACGGUUUUGCUGUCACUUAUAGAUGGCUCCGGGCCGCAUUAGUUGGUUGGUAGGGUAACGGCUUACCAAGGCAAGGAUCCUAAACCGCCCUGAAAGGGUGAGCGGCAACCUGGGAACUGAGACAGGGCCCAGACUCCUACGGGAGGCAGCGGAGGGGAAUCUUCCGAAAUGGGGGAAAGCCUGACGGAGCAACGCGGCGGGAGGGAUGAAGGUCUUCGGAUCGUAAAACUCUGUUAUUAGGAAGGAAGAAAGGUGUAAGUAACUGUGCACGUCUUGACGGUACCUAAUCAGAAAGCCACGGCUAACUACGUG